RNAcentral lists this ribosomal RNA (588 nucleotides) under Salmonella enterica. RNAcentral's name for it is "bacterial SSU rRNA". It matches the Rfam family "Bacterial small subunit ribosomal RNA", at positions 1 to 578 of the family's 1533-position model. Lineage: Bacteria; Pseudomonadati; Pseudomonadota; Gammaproteobacteria; Enterobacterales; Enterobacteriaceae. The record is from RNAcentral.
AAAUUGAAGAGUUUGAUCAUGGCUCAGAUUGAACGCUGGCGGCAGGCCUAACACAUGCAAGUCGAACGGUAACAGGAAGCAGCUUGCUGUUUCGCUGACGAGUGGCGGACGGGUGAGUAAUGUCUGGGAAACUGCCUGAUGGAGGGGGAUAACUACUGGAAACGGUGGCUAAUACCGCAUAACGUCGCAAGACCAAAGAGGGGGACCUUCGGGCCUCUUGCCAUCAGAUGUGCCCAGAUGGGAUUAGCUUGUUGGUGAGGUAACGGCUCACCAAGGCGACGAUCCCUAGCUGGUCUGAGAGGAUGACCAGCCACACUGGAACUGAGACACGGUCCAGACUCCUACGGGAGGCAGCAGUGGGGAAUAUUGCACAAUGGGCGCAAGCCUGAUGCAGCCAUGCCGCGUGUAUGAAGAAGGCCUUCGGGUUGUAAAGUACUUUCAGCGGGGAGGAAGGUGUUGUGGUUAAUAACCGCAGCAAUUGACGUUACCCGCAGAAGAAGCACCGGCUAACUCCGUGCCAGCAGCCGCGGUAAUACGGAGGGUGCAAGCGUUAAUCGGAAUUACUGGGCGUAAAGCGCACGCAGGCGG